RNAcentral lists this long non-coding RNA (4322 nucleotides) under Nicotiana benthamiana. RNAcentral describes it as "long non-coding RNA (NBEN_LNC017678)". The record is from RNAcentral. Lineage: Eukaryota; Viridiplantae; Streptophyta; Magnoliopsida; Solanales; Solanaceae.
ACUUUUAGAUAUUUAUAAAAUAGCCCUAGGCACACUACCUAGUGGAUUUUGCUAAAAAAAAAGAUUAUAAUUGAAUUUAUCAUUUAAAGGUGUAGUACUUCUAACCUUGAUGGUGAUGAGCCAAUAAAAUGACGCUUCAUUUCACUUAAUAUUUCCUCUUGGUGUGCCCUUAAAGUACCCAACUCAGAAGUUAAUGUUUGUAUAUGUAUCCGCUGAUCCGCUACCUCAGUUUCAACUACAUUUAAACGAGUGCCCUUAAGGCACCCAACUCAUAAGUUAACGUUGUAUCUGCUCAUCUGCUACCUCAGUUUCAGCUACAUUCAAACGUUCUUGUAAACCAUGUUAGGCAAUAGUAACAUCCUCUUUUGCCCUCCUAAGGGCGUCCUCUAAUUCCGUUGUCCUUCUUUUUGUUGUUGUAGUUGUAUUAGGCUUUGGACCAUAGCCUAGUCCUUUAAUAUAUCCCGACCUUGUACCCAGUACAUUAUCAACAAUUUCAUCAAUAGUUAUUGGAUUCUCUUCAGAAAUAGACUGAGCUCUCAAAUCUCUCAUUUUGUUCUACAUAAAAUAUUACAUUAGUUAAGUUAACUAUAAGAUAGAAUGAAUACAUGUGACAUGUUACUAAAAUAUUACUACGUAGUUAGUCUCAGCCUCUAGAAGAUGACCAUCCUUUCUCACUCGAGUAAUGAGUGUUUUUGUAUAACUCAAUCCUAUUUGGCUCUACUCCUUCAUGUUCCUUCACACCCUACACAAUAUGAAAAUAAUAUGAAAUAAUACCAAAAUAUCAUCUUAGUAAUGAAUGUGUAGGGUGAUUGAACCUCAACCACAUUGACAUGAUUAGAUUACAAGCUCAACAAAAAGUAAUGAAUGCAUGUGGAACAAAGCUUUUUACCUAUACCAACUCCUAUCAAGGCAGCCAUUUUUGAUAAGCUCAACAAAAGGUAACAAAUAUAUGUGGAACAAAGCUUUUUUCCUAUACCAACUCCUGUCAAGGCAGCCAUUUUUGAGAGUUUUGUGAGACAAAACAUUGCAGAGUCAGAAAUUGAUGUCACAAACAAUAUUAGACAGCCAACGGAGAGUAUUUAUGGCUUCUCAACUAACAUCAAGAUAGCAUUUUUAUAUGCUGCAUGUCCUUUUAUACAAAAUAAACUCAGAGAAAGGAAACACAUAAAGGCUUUAUAUCAGAAAGCUCAAUAUAUUUUAAGAGCCUUAAAAAUACUACUACUAACAGUUGUUGUAGAAUACAUGAUGCAGACAUAGAACUGAUUUUCUUUGUUAUUAAGGUCCUAGAUGUGAUACUAAUAUUUGACAAUUAAAGUUUAACUAAAGCAUGCUGACAAAGAUUUAAAGAAAAAUAAAGAGAUACGGAAGAAAUAAGUUGCAUAAAAACUUCCACACCUCUCAAUUACCAAUUCACCAUGACUUUGUUCACUAUAAAUAACAUCUCGAACUUAAAAUAACAAAAUAGGCUUCAAUGUUUCACGGCAGACUCCCCUUGAUCUUUGGGGACCCUUUCUCAUAUUCCCAUGGUCCAAACAUUGAUCUAAUGUCGAAUAUGUAACUCCACCAAAGACCCUAAACACACAUCUAACUAUCUAAGCUAUUCUUAAUACAAAAAGAGUUCAAUCAAACAUCCUAAAUGCAGCCUCUCUAGUUCAUUUCAUAUUGUCGACAGCUUAAACGAGACAAAGAAGGAAAAAGAGCAGUGAUUCGAUCUCAGCCUCUCUAGUUAAUUUCAUAUUGUCGACAACUUAAACGAGACAAAGAAGGAAAAAAAGCAGUGAUUCGAUCUUUGUUGACUUUAAUAGAAGCGCAACUUUCUUACAUGGGAAACUGGAGGGCAUGAUAUCUAGAUGACUGUAUAACAUAUACAAAAACUUCUUAUUCUUGACUAAGUUUGGUGUCUGGUUAUGAAAAUAUUUACACACAUGAGGCAAGGUUAGUUUCAGAGAGUCAAGUAUUACACUUUAAGCAGGUUCAUUAUUUUUUAUACAAAUGAUAAGUUUCUCCCAUUUUAGCAAUUAUCAUCAUACAUAUCUGACUUUCUAUUCUAAUGUAGGCAGGGAUCACAGAACUCAAGCAAAAAAAAAAGCAAAUAGAAAGGAAGAGGAAGAACUGACGCAAAAUGCUUUCCGAGUUCGAAAAAAUCAAACAUAAAUAAAAUAAAAAUAACUGCUUUACAUAGAAGAUAUGCCUUCCGUAUGAGAAGAUAUUAGAUAUUAACUAAAUCCAGUGUUGUGAAGAGCGUGAAGCGAGGAAAGCCUUUUUGCUUAAAGCGAGAAGCGAAGUGCUCACUUUUUUGAAGUGAAGCAAAAUUUUUAAAAAAAAUUAAAAGAAAUACUGCAUAGACAACUAAGAAUAAAUGAUAUGAAAAAAUGACAGAAAGUAAUCCAAAAAAUGGCAGUAUAACUAAAACGAAAAAUGGGCAACAUUUCGCUGCAAUUUAUCACUGAAAUGGUGUAAGAAAAUGAAGAAGAAGAAGAGGAGAAUGAGAAAAAGAAGAACUGAAGGGGAAAAAAAAUUGCCAGCAUUUCGCUACUAUUUGGAGAAAGAAGAAGAAGAAGAAGCGCCAGAUGCCUCGCUGAAAUAAAUUUGCCAGCAUUUUGCUACUAUUUGGAGACUGAAGAAGAGGGGGAGGAAGAAAGCACACACCUGGGACCAUUCACUUCCUCGCUUCUCGCUUUUUCAGAGAAAGCGAUUGCUUUUGUGUACCUGAUACGCUUCAGAUCAGAGAAGCGCAAGAUGCCUCGCUUCGCAUCGCUUCCCGCUUUAAGCGGUCGGUUUUAACAACACUGACUAAAUCAGUGGAUACAUUAAUCUUAAAAUAUAAAAGUAUAGUUGAUGGAAUGUCUGAUGAGAAUCAAGUUUUCUACUUCUUUUUCUUAGAAAAUGUACAUUUUAUUGAGUAUCAGCACUAACGUUGGGGCUGCAAAUUAAGAAAUGAGAUUUAACAAGAUUUCAACAUCAUUUACAAGUUUCAGUUUACACCAAAACAUAAUAAUACCUAAUAUUUAACCAAGUUAUAUGUCUAGUUUUAAGUGCUAUGUUAUGUUAUCAAAACACUCAUAAAUUGCAUUAACAUGGAAACAUAUGGUUAAAGAAGUGGUUGAUCCCAGUGCAAAUUUGAGUUCAGAGCCAACACGGCAGAUGAUCCUCACAAGAGGAAACCAGAUAUCAACAAACCAAAAGAAGUUAACCGGUUCACGAAAUGCCAAAUAAGAAAACUAGAAAUCCAAUAACGAGUCACAAACAGAGCAUCGACAACAAUAAAUGGGACAAACAAGCUCUAGAAUACUCAGCAAUUGCAAUAAGAAAACUUGCACAACAGCAACAAGAAACUAACUUGAUUUGAAUUAUGAAUGAAAAAUGACAAUACUUAAAAGUAUGUGCAAGUUCUUUUCUUUUUUUCACAUUUUGAAUAUUGAACAUAUCCCUUGAGAUUUCAGUCUUCACCUACCAAGAAUAGAGAUUGGAAAAGCUACAAAAAAGUAAAAAUAGUGUAUAACUUACUAUUUCAGCACGAGCAACUACAAAAGCUCUUGACUCCAUGAAAUGUUUAGAUUUCAGCUUAGUUCGAUUGACCUUGUUUAUCUCGCAUCGUCUCUACAAAGAAUAUAUAGUUAUAAGUAAAUAAAAUUAUAAUGAAACAAAUAUGAUGCUAAAGCUUAUUAUCAUUUCGCACUAUAAGUUCUCAGAUGUUAGCAUAAAAGUGUUGACAGAAACUAAAGAACCACAUCAAACUCUUCUCAAAGGUUGCAUUUUUCAGAGGCAUUUAAAGGAUCCCUUUUUAUCUUUUUUACUUCAAGUUUCUUUUCUACUUUUAUUUGUAUCUUCUGCCUAGAGGCACUGAAAGGGUCCUUUUUUCGCUUUUUUACUUCCAGUUUAUUUUCUACUCUUAUUUGUAUAUUCUGUAAGGGUCUACUCAUAUCAAUCUAAGCCAUUUCAUUCAUGAAUGAAUGUUGCAGGUACAAAGUAGAGAAAAACAAGUUAGUGAAAAUAUCUUAUGUACAUUUUGCUUGUUCGUAUAUUAAAUAACUUAAAUUACAUUUUUCUUUGAGAAAUCAUGAAUGUGGUUUGCCAGAAAAAGAGAUAACAAGACAAAUAUGAAUAGAAAUGACCAUAUGCUCUGGAUUCGCCCACAUGUCACAGAGCCUAUUCCAAUUUUCCGGGGUCAACUCUGGCACUUCAAUUUUACGAGCCUCUUCUUCGGAGCUUGCACUUUCAAAUAGAUUUUUUAAUUUGUAGCGCCAUUGUAGGCUUCUAUUUUUCAGAAUAUCCUCAUAGCUAUCUUUGGUGUAAUGCUCGUCCAAGUUAAUUUCAAACUU